RNAcentral lists this ribosomal RNA (504 nucleotides) under Rhodococcus ruber. RNAcentral describes it as "bacterial SSU rRNA". It matches the Rfam family "Bacterial small subunit ribosomal RNA", at positions 1 to 522 of the family's 1533-position model. Lineage: Bacteria; Bacillati; Actinomycetota; Actinomycetes; Mycobacteriales; Nocardiaceae. The record is from RNAcentral.
UGGAGAGUUUGAUCCUGGCUCAGGACGAACGCUGGCGGCGUGCUUAACACAUGCAAGUCGAACGAUGAAGCCCAGCUUGCUGGGUGGAUUAGUGGCGAACGGGUGAGUAACACGUGGGUGAUCUGCCCUGCACUUCGGGAUAAGCCUGGGAAACUGGGUCUAAUACCGGAUAGGACCUCGGGAUGCAUGUUCCGGGGUGGAAAGGUUUUCCGGUGCAGGAUGGGCCCGCGGCCUAUCAGCUUGUUGGUGGGGUAACGGCCCACCAAGGCGACGACGGGUAGCCGGCCUGAGAGGGCGACCGGCCACACUGGGACUGAGACACGGCCCAGACUCCUACGGGAGGCAGCAGUGGGGAAUAUUGCACAAUGGGCGCAAGCCUGAUGCAGCGACGCCGCGUGAGGGAUGACGGCCUUCGGGUUGUAAACCUCUUUCAGUACCGACGAAGCGCGAGUGACGGUAGGUACAGAAGAAGCACCGGCCAACUACGUGCCAGCAGCCGCGGUA